This is a non-coding RNA of Parasteatoda tepidariorum (common house spider), 2741 nucleotides long. NCBI's taxonomy places the organism in Eukaryota, Metazoa, Arthropoda, Arachnida, Araneae, Theridiidae. The record is from RefSeq and is a predicted model, not a curated record.
CAUAACAUUGGUUGCUUUGUUCUUUUUCUUCAUGAUAUUUGUGAUAUUUUUCUUGAAUUUUCCAAAUUGAAUGUAUAUUUCAAAAGUCAAGGUGACAAAAUUGUCAAGAUGCAUGAAUGGCUCGCCAAUAUCGCAUUUCUGAGUUUCACUGUAGUAUGGUACAUUUCUCGGUUAUAUUGGUAUCCACUCAGAGUUCUUUAUACCGGGAUAUCCGAUAUUAACGGAUUGCAAUCAGUAUUACCUUGUUCAUUGCUCAUGAAUGGCUUAUUGUGGAUUUUGCAAAUUUUAAAUGUUUAUUGGUUUUAUCUUAUCCUUCAAACACUCUACAGAGUGGUCACUGGUCAAUUAGCUGAAGACGCAAGAGAAUAUGAUGUAAUGGAAAAGCUAAACCAAAAAGAGGAUAAAAAGCUCUCUUAGUUUUUUGAAGUUAAUUAGUUAAUAAGGUAUGCUCAGUAAAAGAAAAUUAUAAAAAUUUGGGUAACUGCAACCGCUAGUUCGGGUUCAUUCCAGUAAUGGCGAUGGAUGUUUUGUCAUAUUUUACAGCUUCUUUCUCAUAGGCUGUGUUUGUAACUUGAUUUUAACAAAUGUUUAAUGUAUGUUUUAAAUCCGAACAUGCUGUGUAAGUAUUGUAUAAAACAUUUUGUAACUUCUUAAGAAAAUUAAAUUAAGUUUAAUGUGUAAUUAUUACAUUUUUACAAUUUGAAAUUGUGAUUUUCACUUUUUCCCUUUGUGGAGAGUAUUUCAAAUAUUACUGCCUUCUUACAUUUAAAUGUUUGGGGAACAUGAUCAAAUUUCUUUAUAUUGAAAUACUUUAUUUUGUAAUUUACCUGUAACUUUGAAGUAUUAUAAAUGUAUCUAAAUCAAAUUUAUUAUAGAACAUUAGUUAAAAUCUUGAUUCUAAAAUUUUGUGUAAGAUUUUCAAGUUUAAAUGUUCAGAAUAUCAAAUAACUAUGGUGGUGAUUUUCCUCAAUUACGCAAUUAUUAUUAUUGUUUUUUUUGCAUCCUUUAAAAAAAUUUAUCUUUUAUUUUUUUUUCCACUCUAAAGUAAGCAAUAAAACGAAACUAUUUAAAGAUAUUUUAAUGCUUAGUUUUGUUGAUAAGGAAUUACUAUAUGUUAAAGAGUAAUUUACUAAUUAUCUUAUUUUGAUUAUAAGUUUCUAUUUCAAAUGGUUAUAGGAUUAUGUAUCUAUUGGAAAAAUCUUUACAUAUUUUGUGUGUAAUUGUUUCAUAAAUUUUAUUAGUUAAUUCCGCCAUGCAUUCUUUUGUUAAUUACCUAAUUCUAUUCAAGCUAAAGUUUCAUUUUGAAUAUAACAUUGUUAGUUAAAUAUUGCUAACUUUUUUCUAACAAAAUUUCGCGUUUCAGAAUGUGAGAAAGCUUAUAAAAACUGCCAAUAAUAAUAGGAUUGAUAAGUUUAAUAAUAUUAUUGAUAAAUUUCAUAGAAUAUUAUUGAUUAAACAAACAAUUGGAUUCAUAAAACAAACAAUAGGAUUGAUAAACAAAAAAAUAAUUAUUUUAAAAAUAUAAGAGCAUAAGAAGAAACUAAAUUUUGUUGAUAAACUAAAUGAGAUUGAUGCGUUAAGAUUAUAAUAUCUGUUUUUGAAGAACUGAACAAGAAUUUCCAAAUAUCUUUCUAUUUUAUUAUAUAGUUUCAACAUGCAAGAAAAAUAUUUUUGCCUCAUCAAGUUUUUUUAUUCUAAUAAAUAAUUACUGUUAUUCCAUUUUGUCGCUUGAUUUAACUGUUACAGAUUACAAUAGUAAGUUUUCUACAACAAUGCGGGACUCUAACUUUAUUUUGUCAUACUGGAUAAUUAUUAUAGAUAAAAAAGGUAAAGUUAUUUGAAAUUAUGUUCCUAUUUUUUUCUGAAGAAGUCAUUCAUGUUUUAUAAUUUGCAGUUACAUAUGUAUAUUCUGUUUCAUUUUAUAAUCCUUCGCUGAAUAAUUGCACAACAAUAACCGUAAAAAUUAUGAGGAAAAAAAGGAUUUCAAAUUGAUAAAGUUCAUUUGUUUACCGGUUCUAAAUAUUUUACUUAUUUUAAAGAAAAAGAUUUCUUUGCGACAAAUUAAAGUAUCAAAUUAAAUUUGAUACGCACGCCUAGAAAAUAAAUUAAAUAGAAUUCUGGACUAGUUCGUCUUAUGAUAGGAACCAGCAUAGCCAAGACAGUAUUAUAAGAGAGAUGCAAUAUGCUGAUUUCAAGAACGUAGACAGUAGUUUAAAUAAAUUAAUAAUUGUAAUUAAAUUCAGUUUCACAACUCAUUUCUAAAUAGGCUAAUAUCAACAAAAGAAGUAUGAAGUUUCUUUUCUUCUUUGUGAAACAUAAUUCUAAUUUGUGGAAUAUAUUUAAGGGUAGUCAAUUAACAUUCGUUUUUUGCAUAUUGAGUUAAAGCAAACUUGAUAAAUAUUUUUUUACGAAAAAUAAUACCUAAAUAAUAUUUCUUCAAAAUAGUUCAUGAAUAAACAGCAGUACAAUGUUUUCCUAUUUAUAUAGAGACAAAAAUUUAAAGAAGAAUUAUUCUUCACAAACAUGCUCUAAAGAAGUUAUUAACUGCGUGUUAAUAUUGUAUGGUUUUUACCAUGAAAUGUAUAAAUUUAUAAAAUGCAUGUAAUGUGAAUUAUAGACGUAUUUUUGAUAUGUUUGUUUACAUAAACCCUUGUCUUUAAUUUAUGCUAAUAUUUUAUGCAAAUAACUUGUAAAAUAAAUAAAGUAUGAUCAUUUGCAUAAUAAAAUAUUUAUCUGUGAUA